Molecule: non-coding RNA, 25 nt
Filed under: Cricetulus griseus (Chinese hamster)
Lineage: Eukaryota; Metazoa; Chordata; Mammalia; Rodentia; Cricetidae
Source: RNAcentral
GGGCCUGAACCACAGGACUGGGGAG